CAAGGAAUCUUCCGCAAUGGGCGCAAGCCUGACGGAGCAACGCCGCGUGGAGGACGACGGCCUUCGGGUUGUAAACUCCUUUUCUCAGGGAAGAAACGGACGGUACCUGGGGAAUCAGCCCCGGCUAACUCUGUGCCAGCAGCCGCGGUAAGACAGAGGGGGCAAGCGUUGUCCGGAUUUACUGGGCGUACAGCGCGCGCAGGCGGUUGCGUAUGUGACUGGUGACAGCCUCCCGCUCAACGGGAGAAGGCCCGGUUAGACAGCGCAACUGGAGGCAGGGAGAGGGAUGUGGAAUACCCGGUGGAGCGGUGAAAUGCGUAGAGAUCGGGUGGAACACCAGUGGCGAAGGCGGCAUCCUGGCCCUGACCUGACGCUGAGGCGCGAUAGCGUGGGGAGCAAACGGGAUUAGAUACCCCGGUAGUCCACGCCGUAAACGAUGUGGAGCCGGUGUCGGCGGGUGAUUGCGCCCGUCGGUGCCCCAGCUUACGCGAUGACUCCACCGCCUGGGAACUACGGCCGC
Molecule: ribosomal RNA, 520 nt
Filed under: uncultured bacterium
Lineage: Bacteria
Description: bacterial SSU rRNA
Rfam family: Bacterial small subunit ribosomal RNA
Source: RNAcentral